RNAcentral lists this ribosomal RNA (772 nucleotides) under uncultured Neocallimastigales. RNAcentral's name for it is "partial large subunit ribosomal RNA". It matches the Rfam family "Eukaryotic large subunit ribosomal RNA", at positions 24 to 645 of the family's 3401-position model. Lineage: Eukaryota; Fungi; Neocallimastigomycota; Neocallimastigomycetes; Neocallimastigales. The record is from RNAcentral.
UAUCUCUGUAGAGUCUGCAUAUCAAUAAGCGGAGGAAAAGAAACUAACAAGGAUUCCCUUAGUAACGGCGAGUGAAGCGGGAAGAGCUCAAAUUUGAAAUCUUCAAGGUUUUACCUUGACGAAUUGUAGUUUAAAGAAGUGUUUUCUGCUGGAGUUUUGGUAAAAGUUCUUUGGAAUAGGACAUCAUAGAGGGUGAGAAUCCCGUAUUUGACCAUUAUUUCAGCUUUGUGAUACACUUUCAAAGAGUCGGAUUGUUUGGGAAUGCAGUCCAAAGUGGGUGGUAAAUUUCAUCUAAAGCUAAAUAUUGGCGAGAGACCGAUAGCGAACAAGUACCGUGAGGGAAAGAUGAAAAGAACUUUGAAAAGAGAGUUAAACAGUACGUGAAAUUGUCAAAAGGGAAGCGUUUGACACCAGUGUUGUUUUCUCGAAAAUCAAUUAAAAAAGGCAGGAUUUUGUGUUGUAUUGACUUUAUCAGCUUUCUGCACUCUUUUCUUGUCUUUUUUAAUGCACUUUUCGUUUAACAAGUCAACAUCAAUUUCUUUUGUUGUAAAAGGGUCAUUGGAAGGUGGCUUUCUUUUCGGAGAAAGUGUUUAUAGCCUUUGGCCUCUGCAAUCGGAGAGAUUGAGGUCUGCAGCGUAGAUCCUUCGGGGUUAGAUACAUUUGUGCUAAGUUAUAGCCUUUCAUAGACAACUUGUUGACUAUGAUCAGUCAUGUAGCUUACUCGCUUAUGCUAUUUUACCUACGCUUAGGAUGUUGAUGUGAUACUGCGAGC